AAAAGGAAGGGAGAAAGGGAAGAGAGAAUGGAAGGAAGAAUGAAAGGAAAGAGAAAGAAAAUGAAGAGAGAAAGAAAACUAUAGUAUGCAACAGAAAAUUAAAAUUCACUUAAAAAAAAAAAAACUCAACAUACUGAAGAACUCUGAUGCCAUCAGAAUAUCAGCAAAUAAGAGGAACAUUGAGGGGGCAAAAAACACCCAGAAGAUAAACACACUGAAAUAGUAUCAGAAGCAGCAACAGAUGCAAUGCCAGAGAUACAAUCAAAUAGAUUAUAUAUAUAUAUAUAUAUAUAUAUAUAUAUUCCAGGAAGUCAAGGGGAAGAGAAAGGAAGAAGGAAGAAUCACAAUAGGAGUUAAAAGAAGAAUUAAAUGCAAUUUUAAAAAAAUCUCUGGAGGAAUUAAGUUGAUAACUGAUUGAAUCUAAAAUAUUCAAGAGUAAAUGAUGACAAAACUGGGAAUAAAAUGGAAAAUAGCACAGUGUGAUUUUGAGAUCAAUAAUUGCAGCUAAAAGCAAGAUUAAUAUAAUAGAAGUCAGGAUGGCAGAUAAUGCAGCUGAAAUGGAAAAAUAAGCUCAGAAAAUAACUAGGAAAACAUUUGGAAGCACUACAGUGAAGAUGACAGAUUUGGAAGAAAGAUCAAGGGGAUGAAAUCAGUGUGGGGAUUAAAGAGACAGUGUGGUAGGAAAAACUGCAUUGGAAUGGGAGGCUGGGGGUCUGUCCUCUGCCUUGAUCUGUCUGCCUCUUAACAAUGUGAACUCAGCGAAGUCACUCCUCAGCCUCUGGACUUCAGUUUUCUUAGCUCUAAAAUAAAGCAUUUCCACUAGAAGAUGGUGGUAUGACUGUCAGAGUUGUCCUUCCACCUUAUGGAUCAGAGUCCUGCUUGUUCUAGAAUAAGCUUUGUCUGUCACAGGUUUUAUAAUAAGGCUGUUUGUUCUGGAAUGACCUAGGAUGACAAACAAAGACAAGACUUCUAGGCAAUGUGAGCCUGACAGAUCUCUGGAUCUGUCUAUCACCUUAUAGAGAGGUCAUUUAUUCUAGGUUAUAAAAGGGGAAGAUGCUUUUGGCGUGAUAGAUCAUUCCAGAGGACAGGCCCAUAGUCUGUAGAUUAACACUUACAGCUUUGGAACAGGAGUCCAGGAUCUAGGAAAGUAACUAUACAAAAAAAAAAAAUGGCAUCAUCCAAAUUGACCAGUUCCUGAACAGCCACUGAUUUCCUCUCAGCCAUCACCCAGCUACCAUAGUCCCUAAGACUUACCCCUGAUUCUUCCCUUUUGUCACUUGAAUGCUGAUAAGAAUAACAAAUGUUUUUGUGUACUACAACUUUUUUAAAAAUUUCAAUUCAAUUGUAAAACAAUUAUCUCUAAGAUUCCUAGAGACUGGGGGCAGCUUGGUACCUCAGUGAGGAAGACUUAAUCUUCAAACAAUUAUUAUCCUAAUUAUAAUCUGUGUGAUACUAGACAAAUUUAUCCUGUUUGCCUCAUUUUUCUAACAGUACAGUGAGCUGGAAGAGAAAAUCAUAAACCAUUCCAGUAUCUUUGCCAAGAAAACCCCAAAUGGGGCCAUGAAGAGUUGGAGACGAUAGAAAAUUAUUCAACAACAACAAAAAGCUCUGUUGUCCAAUAAUUCUAAGAAACCUCAGAAUUAUUGGAAUUCUAGAAAAAAUAGAAGAAAAAUAAUUUGAUAAUGCUAUUUCAGCAAAUUGUAUGAGAAUAUUUUCCCAAACAUUCUUUCUAUGUUUUUUUCUACCUCUCUCUCUCCCUCCCUUUCUCUGUCUCUGUCUCUCUGUCUCUCUUCUCCUUUCAAGUCCACUACUCCUUCCCUUCCUUCUUCUCCCUUUCCUUUCCUUUUCCUCAUCCCCUUUUCCUCUCUUUCUAUUACUAUCUCUUCUCUCUUUUAUCACUCUUCAACUCUUUGUUAUCCCUACUCAUCUUUCUCUUUUCCUCUUUUCCCCCUCCUCUGAAUUUCUUUUUUAUUCUUUUAUGAAACGUAACUGUAUUAUUAUCCCAAUUUUACAAAUGAGGAAACUGAGGCAAUUAUCCAUUAAGUGUUUUGCCCAAAGUCAUACAACAUAGGCAAGUGAGGGUAGAUUUAAUUUAAGCCUUCCUGACUCCAGGCUCAGAAUUCUAUCCAGUGAGUCAUGUAGAGGUAUGAUUGAUCUUUCCUCUACAGCUCACAUCUGUCUAGUUUUUCCAGUUCACAUGGCCAUCAGACUAGUUCUAUAUUUCAUCAACUCCUGCAUGUAGACUCUUGUAAUAGACUCAUACAAAUAUCUCUUCUUUCAAUCUCUAACCCACACCUUCCUCUGCAUUCUACCCCAUCCAUCCUCCAUAUAGUUGCCG
This 2338-nucleotide long non-coding RNA is filed under the name Sarcophilus harrisii (Tasmanian devil). Its description in RNAcentral is "lncRNA (ENSSHAG00000030268.1)". Lineage: Eukaryota; Metazoa; Chordata; Mammalia; Dasyuromorphia; Dasyuridae. The record is from RNAcentral.